GUGGGUAGUUUGACUGGGGCGGUCUCCUCCUAAAGAGUAACGGAGGAGCACGAAGGUUAGCUAAUCCUGGUCGGACAUCAGGAGGUUAGUGCAAAGGCAUAAGCUAGCUUGACUGCGAGAGUGACGGCUCGAGCAGGUGCGAAAGCAGGUCUUAGUGAUCCGGUGGUUCUGAAUGGAAGGGCCAUCGCUCAACGGAUAAAAGGUACUCCGGGGAUAACAGGCUGAUACCGCCCAAGAGUUCAUAUCGACGGCGGUGUUUGGCACCUCGAUGUCGGCUCAUCACAUCCUGGGGCUGAAGUAGGUCCCAAGGGUAUGGCUGUUCGCCAUUUAAAGUGGUACGCGAGCUGGGUUUAGAACGUCGUGAGACAGUUCGGUCCCUAUCUGCCGUGGGCGCUGGAGAAUUGAGGGGGGCUGCUCCUAGUACGAGAGGACCGGAGUGGACGCAUCACUGGUGUUCGGGUUGUCAUGCCAAUGGCAUUGCCCGGUAGCUAAAUGCGGAAGAGAUAAGUGCUGAAAGCAUCUAAGCACGAAACUUGCCCCGAGAUGAGUUCUCCCUGAGACUUUAAGUCUCCUGAAGGAACGUUGAAGACGACGACGUUGAUAGGUCGGGUGUGUAAGCGUAGCGAUACGUUGAGCUAACCGAUACUAAUGAACCGUGAGGCUUAACCUUACAACGCCGAAG
This 682-nucleotide ribosomal RNA is filed under the name Citrobacter freundii. RNAcentral's name for it is "partial 23S ribosomal RNA". It matches the Rfam family "Bacterial large subunit ribosomal RNA", at positions 2261 to 2925 of the family's 2925-position model. Lineage: Bacteria; Pseudomonadati; Pseudomonadota; Gammaproteobacteria; Enterobacterales; Enterobacteriaceae. The record is from RNAcentral.